CACUUUUGCCUUUUUAUGUAUUUAUUUUUUGCCCGCAGUAUCAGUUACAAGCUGACAUGACUCAUUCUCAUCAUCGGCCGUCACGUGUCAGCAGAUUUAACCGGCAACGGUAACUCAUGAGACGGACGCUCACCACAAAUGUGAGCUGGGACUGGAUCCAAAGCCACCCCCCACCUCCAGCCCUGCCUGAGCCCAGGAGAUGUUCCAGUUCCCUUAUCUUCCGUGUUUCUCCGUGCCGGACAGCUAUUUAUAAACCAUACCAUCAGCAUCGCAGAGGUGGGACACUGGAAAAUGGACUGCGGCAGGAUGAUGCCGACACUGAUAUCGUUCCUCAGCUUGUUGCCGUUCGCCGAAAUGCUCAUGGGGAAGGAUUGUUUAAUUUGCCCGAAUCCGACAGUCAGUACAAAAGAAGGAGAUGACGUUGUUCUUCAGUGUCAUGCACAUCCCAUAGUCAACUUAUCUUCCUACACAGUGGAUGUGAAGAGAACUGGCCACAAAGGUGUGGUGCAUGCAUAUCGACAUGGACACGACCAUCCUCACGACAAGAUGGAUGAGUACGUAAACAGGACGACCCUCAUCCAUGAAGACCUGAGCAAAGGGCUCGUGACACUGCGGAUCUCCUCAGUGAAGCAGUCUGACAGUGGUGCAUACAAAAUCUAUGUCCCAAAAACCAAGUGCAGUUUCAUUAUAAACAUCACUGUUGGUAAGCGUGCUGACUUUAACACUAUACAGAUCGAUAUAUAAAAUGAUGGAAUGAGUCUUCUCUCCCACAUCGAAAGCCUCUGCAGUAGCCACAGGUGUUUAUCAGCUUCAGCCCCGAUCGGCAGUGACUGAGGCACAACAUGCAUAACAUACAUGUUCAAGUUGAGGACACUGGUGUGUUAACAAUUUCCAUCCGUCUCCUGUUCAUAGUGCUUGAACAAGUGAGAGUAAAAGCUGUAUAAGAGUGAGUAGUGCAUGCUCUUUAGUAUGGCCAUUCACUUUGCUUAGCUUUGCUCUGUAAGUACAAAAUGAUACAUUGGAACAAAAUAAUGUAGACAUAAUACACAAGCAUGAUAAGAACAGUUAACGUAACAAACACUAUUGCUCACUAUUGCUUGAAUCUGACACAUAAAGCAUGUUACACCUGUUUCCAUUUCCAUUUCCAUGUGAAAUGAUCCUAAAACGGCCAUCACCACCAGAAACACACAUCCACCAGAUUAUUUCUCCUACUGACACAGACAUCAGAGACGACGAGGCGUCUCUCUUACCACCAGCUGGCCAAGAAAACAUUUUCACAGUCAGAUCUGAUGUGGAGGGUGAAGCUGGCGUGUCUCUGCUUCACCCUUCACUGACCAAAAAACACUGUCCAGAGACACAACCGCUGUGCAUGUAGAGCCUGCACAUCACGCACCAGCAACAAACACAGUGUGUACAACUGUUUUUAGAUUGGAAAAUUACACGAGACAGACUUCUCUAGUAGAUAAGUCAUGGAAAAUCAGAACUGUUUGAGUUUUCCUGUCAUUCAAAGCAGCAGAACCACUGUGGCAGAACGUCUUUGAGUUCAUUUGCUGUAUGUGACAGUGGACGUACUACCCAUCUGCACAUCGCAAUCAUCAUCAUCAUUAGUGCAAACGAGUCUAAGUGAUUGAUAAAUUACUGCAUCACCUCUGAGCCCAUCCUUCUUUUCAACUCUGUCCAAUAUUCUUUCAGGUGCUGCAAAGACAGAACCUGUCUGGAUCAUUGUCACUGGCAGUUUCAUCGGUGCUGUUCUCAUUGCUGCUGCUGUUGCUGUUUCUAUCCUGGUGAAACGAGGAAAGAUCCGUAAGUUACAAGUUGUAAAAGUACAUUUACUCAAACGCUCCACCUAAAGGCCACUGCGUAGUAGUUAAGGCAGAAAUUGUCAGAAAUGGAAUAUUAGAUUAAUAUUCACGUUUUCAGUUUCAUUAUAAUCCCCUGGAACACAGAGCAGUCCAGAUCGGACAAACCAAAAGACUGGCUGAAGAGAGGGACUUUUUCAAAGGGUGAGUCAGGGGAAUUUAUCUGCGACUUCCCCUCUAGAUGCCUUUUAAAUCCUACCCACUGGAGCUUUAUUACAUUUUUGAGGUCAUUUUCUUGGUUAAUUAUGUUUGAUCCUGCUUUGUGCAGCUUCCUCUUUAAAAAAGUAAACCAAAAGAGAAAUUGAAAAAAGCUUAGUCAGUCUUAGGGAUGACACACUGUGUAUGGAUCUUCAGAAUCAAGUGGAGAGCAAUGACAAACUACUUGUCAAAUGUGAACGGAGACUUGAGACAUCUUUACUGGAAUUAUUCAAAUCUUUAGGACACUGAUAUUUCCACACUAUUUGUAUUCCCUUUUUAAAACGACACACUUUUAUAGGCAUGGACACGGUUUUGCUGGUUUAUUUGCCAAAUCCUAUUACAGUAUAGGAGACAAGAAAACAACUUAAUGUUGUACUUCAUAGAGAUAAUAAUGGUAUAUCUUGUAGCCACGCACGAGAGAUACAGACUGGGAAUAUUGUCCUGGUGUAUAUGUGGCAGGUUGGAUGAUGAAUUAAUUACAGUCAUAUCCACAUCAGAUUUUGAUCAUUGACUUCUAAUGUCUAAUCGUAUCCAAAACAAGCACAACUAUUUAAUAUGUUCAAGCACGUGAAGAGUGUUGGAUCAUGUUAUGCACAUUGAUGCAUUGCUUUGAACGUCUGAUAAUUUAGCACUCAUUUGCCGUAAUGUCACAUCAGACAAUAUCAUUAAUACUGCGACGAUGAUGAUAUCAAGAAUGUCAUUAUACUGCCCGGCUCUAAUACUUACCUUCUUAGCCGUACACACAAACUGUCUGAAGUUGUUGUUUAGUGUUUGUCACAAACAUGUUUCCAUUUUCUCACAGCUUUAAGAAGAUGCUCCAGAUGCUCCGGAGAAGGAAGGAAGGAGGGAGAAGCAGAGACACCGUGAAGCAGUGAACUGACACCACUGCAGAAAGUGGCCUCAGAGAAGUGGCGCACUUGUGUGUGACAAACGGGGAGUAAAAGGAUUUAUAUAUAGUUUAUAUUUAGUCUGGAAUUUAUCCUAUCAUAUCAUUGUUAGUGCAUGUAGUGAAGAAGUGGGAUGGGACACACUCUGUAUUGGUAGUCAGUAUUUCUAACUCUAGUGCACUGAUACAGUCUCAUUCAUAAAGAAACACUAUGCCCCUUGAUAGGCUACAUAGAAUAACACCCAACAGAACAUACAGAACAACAACUACUGAUAAUAACUAUUCUAUAAAGAUGAUCAGGGAUUCAUAGUAUUAUUAUUACUCUUACUUAAUGAGCUUAUCAUUGCUAUCAUACUGAUUUUUAAAAAAUAUAUAUAUAAUUAACUUAAUUUCUAAGUAUUUAUUGCACACCCACAGUGAGGUGACAUAAGAUUAUGUAAUACAAUUAGGUGCAAGCUCUGAGAGUUUAAAAUGGUUUUCUAAUGCACGAGUCCACAACACUGUCAUGUAUGUGCCAGAUAUGUUUUCUGUCCUGCUAUUUCAGCUCAGUUACACGAUAUGCAAAAGCCUCUCCGCAGCUAUUCUGAUUCAGGUUUUCUCUUUUUUAAAUUAAAAUUUUUUUUUUUUACUUAAAGCCUUUUUACUUGAGUCACCAAAGAAAUCAAUGUUCAAAGCUAUAUGCAGAGGGUGAAGUAAUGCGUGGGAGUUCUUAGGGAUGGGUGGGUGUGUUGGAGGGAGGGAUGCAGGUGCUGAUCUGGCAUCUACGUGAUCACCCUUCUGUACGUUGUUGGUUACUAAUAAAAAGUAAUGUUGAAUAAAUUAAUGACAUUAAGUUAAUAAACUUAUUUAUAAAAUUUAAGUUGUCAUUGUGGUAAUUGUUGUACAGCCUCUUUGCCAUUGUGUUUAUCUGAGUUUGGUCCUCACCAGGGC
Molecule: long non-coding RNA, 3873 nt
Filed under: Sparus aurata (gilthead seabream)
Lineage: Eukaryota; Metazoa; Chordata; Actinopteri; Spariformes; Sparidae
Description: lncRNA (ENSSAUG00010021432.1)
Source: RNAcentral